RNAcentral lists this ribosomal RNA (409 nucleotides) under uncultured bacterium. RNAcentral describes it as "bacterial SSU rRNA". It matches the Rfam family "Bacterial small subunit ribosomal RNA", at positions 505 to 916 of the family's 1533-position model. The record is from RNAcentral.
GUGCCAGCAGCCGCGGUAAUACGAAGGGGGCUAGCGUUGCUCGGAUUCACUGGGUUUAAAGGGUGCGUAGGUGGGUUGGUAAGUCAGUGGUGAAAUCUCCAGGCUUAACUUGGAAACUGCCAUUGAUACUAUCAAUCUUGAAUACCGUGGAGGUCAGCGGAAUAUGUCAUGUAGCGGUGAAAUGCUUAGAGAUGACAUAGAACACCAAUUGCGAAGGCAGCUGGCUACACGAAUAUUGACACUGAUGCGCGAAAGCGUGGGGAUCAAACAGGAUUAGAUACCCUGGUAGUCCACGCCCUAAACGAUGGAUACUCGACAUACGCGAUAUACUGUGUGUGUCUGAGCGAAAGCAUUAAGUAUCCCACCUGGGAAGUACGAUCGCAAGAUUGAAACUCAAAGGAAUUGACGG